GUGAGGAAUAUUGGACAAUGGGCGCAAGCCUGAUCCAGCCAUGCCGCGUGCAGGAAGACGCAUCUAUGGUGUGUAAACUGCUUUUGUACGGGAAGAAACACUCCCUCGUGAGGGAGCUUGACGGUACCGUAAGAAUAAGGAUCGGCUAACUCCGUGCCAGCAGCCGCGGUAAUACGGAGGAUCCAAGCGUUAUCCGGCAUCAUUGGGUUUAAAGGGUCCGUAGGCGGUUUAAUAAGUCAGUGGUGAAAGCCCAUCGCUCAACGAUGGAACGGCCAUUGAUACUGUUAGACUUGAAUUACAAGGAAGUAACUAGAAUAUGUAGUGUAGCGGUGAAAUGCGUAGAUAUUACAUGGAAUACCAAUUGCGAAGGCAGGUUACUACUUGUGGAUUGACGCUGAUGGACGAAAGCGUGGGGAGCGAACAGGAUUAGAUACCCGGGUAGUCC
RNAcentral lists this ribosomal RNA (445 nucleotides) under uncultured bacterium. RNAcentral describes it as "partial 16S ribosomal RNA". It matches the Rfam family "Bacterial small subunit ribosomal RNA", at positions 354 to 796 of the family's 1533-position model. The record is from RNAcentral.